This 253-nucleotide ribosomal RNA is filed under the name uncultured Lachnospiraceae bacterium. Its description in RNAcentral is "partial 16S ribosomal RNA". It matches the Rfam family "Bacterial small subunit ribosomal RNA", at positions 524 to 776 of the family's 1533-position model. The record is from RNAcentral. Lineage: Bacteria; Bacillati; Bacillota; Clostridia; Lachnospirales; Lachnospiraceae.
UACGUAGGGGGCAAGCGUUAUCCGGAUUUACUGGGUGUAAAGGGAGCGUAGACGGUGAUGCAAGUCAGAAGUGAAAGCCCGGGGCUCAACUCCGGGACUGCUUUUGAAACUGUGUGACUGGAGUGCAGGAGAGGUAAGCGGAAUUCCUGGUGUAGCGGUGAAAUGCGUAGAUAUCAGGAGGAACACCAGUGGCGAAGGCGGCUUACCAGACUGAGUCUGACGCUGAUGCACGAGAGCAUGGGUAGCGAACAGG